AUGCUCUCAGGACACAUGCCUGGGGGUGCCCAUGGGAUCCUCUCGCUGCUGACCGUGGUCUUCGUCCUCCCAGAGGUGUCCGGACUCCAGUGUUAUGGCUGCAACAUUAUCGUUGGCACCAAAAACGUGGACAUGGGAUGCUCCAACCCAGAGGUGAUCACCUGCUCCCACUCCCACCAGGGCUUCAAACACCGGUUCUGCAUUAAGACAGAGAGUGGUGAGUUUGCCCCGGGGGGGCGCUGGGGCAGCAGGGGGUGCCGGAUCGAGCUGGUGAUGCUCAAAAAAAUAAUCAAAACAAGCCUUGAAGCCUUCACACGGGACCUGGCCCCUGGCGCAAGGCUGGCAGAGCAUCACCCUCCAUCUGGCUGUCACCCCCCUGCCCCUGACGUCCUGCCCUGUGCUUGCUUUGCAGUGGUCCUGGGCAUCCUGCUGACCAGCGGCUGUGCCACCUCCCGUCACUGCCAGCAGCAGGAGCUGCCGGGGGUCCGCAUCCACUGCUGCGACACAGACCUCUGCAACGGCUCCCCCCGAGCCCCCCGGCCGCCCCCUGGCCUCGCUAGUGGCCACCUCCUGCUGCCCUGCGUCCUCGCUGCGCUGCUCCUCUCCUGAGCCCCCCAGGACUGGGGUGGGGGGGGAAAAGGGACCCUCAGGGGGGAGGCUGGGACAGGGCUGUCCCCACCCCUGCUCUUACAGGUGGGCAGGACGCCCUCCUCUCCCCUCUCCUCAAUAAAAGGUGCCCUGGAAAGGUUUCA
This 752-nucleotide long non-coding RNA is filed under the name Calidris pygmaea (Spoon-billed sandpiper). RNAcentral's name for it is "lncRNA (ENSCPGG00000007108.1)". The record is from RNAcentral. Lineage: Eukaryota; Metazoa; Chordata; Aves; Charadriiformes; Scolopacidae.